Phyllostomus discolor (pale spear-nosed bat) is the source of this 150-nucleotide long non-coding RNA. RefSeq lists it as uncharacterized. Lineage: Eukaryota; Metazoa; Chordata; Mammalia; Chiroptera; Phyllostomidae. The record is from RefSeq and is a predicted model, not a curated record. The transcript is spliced from 3 exons.
CGUGUCAAAAGCAAUUUGUAGUUUCAUGCUGGAUAUUUCUCUCUGGACAAUGCUCCACAAUCAGGUAGACUAGUUGAAGCUGAUAGCAGUCAAAUUGAAACAUUAAUUGAGAACAACCAAUGUUAUACCACAUGGGAAAUAACUAACAUA